AAACCAACAGGGAUUGCCUUAGUAGCGGCGAGUGAAGCGGCAAAAGCUCAAAUUUGAAAUCUGGCACUUUCAGUGUCCGAGUUGUAAUUUGAAGAAGGUAUCUUUGGGUCUGGCUCUUGUCUAUGUUUCUUGGAACAGAACGUCACAGAGGGUGAGAAUCCCGUGCGAUGAGAUGUCCCAGACCUAUGUAAAGUUCCUUCGAAGAGUCGAGUUGUUUGGGAAUGCAGCUCUAAGUGGGUGGUAAAUUCCAUCUAAAGCUAAAUAUUGGCGAGAGACCGAUAGCGAACAAGUACAGUGAUGGAAAGAUGAAAAGAACUUUGAAAAGAGAGUGAAAAAGUACGUGAAAUUGUUGAAAGGGAAGGGCUUGAGAUCAGACUUGGUAUUUUGUAUGUUACUCUCUCGGGGGUGGCCUCUACAGUUUACCGGGCCAGCAUCAGUUUGAGCGGUAGGAUAAGUGCAAAGAAAUGUGGCACUGCUUCGGUAGUGUGUUAUAGUCUUUGUCGAUACUGCCAGCUUAGACUGAGGACUGCGGCUUCGGCCUAGGAUGUUGGCAUAAUGAUCUUAAGUCGCC
Molecule: ribosomal RNA, 571 nt
Filed under: Lodderomyces parapsilosis
Lineage: Eukaryota; Fungi; Ascomycota; Pichiomycetes; Serinales; Debaryomycetaceae
Description: eukaryotic LSU rRNA
Rfam family: Eukaryotic large subunit ribosomal RNA
Source: RNAcentral